AUGGCCACUAAACUAACUAGCUGCCUUUCAAACCUGGGUUUGACCUUUAUUCUUCAGCUUAAAAUCAAAGAAUUUGCCCUAUUUCAGGAACAAUUGUUGAUUCAGGUAGGCUUAAGAAUGACCUGAAGUCUCACUCAAGGCAUUUUGAGAGGUCUGACAAUUUCAAUGUAUUUUGGUUUAGACUGUGCCAUUUUUGGCAUUUUUAGACUGCUACAAUACUUAGAUACAUGAGAAUAGAAUUAGGAUAGCCCUAAUUCAGGAUGAGCUGCUGACCUCACAAUGCAGAGGGCAGACUGAAGCACUGUCAAACCUUCUCCCACCUCCAGGAUGAGAAUUCACAGCACUCUGGCAAGCCCUGGGUUCUGUGUGGACCUGGUGGGAACUGUGCCACGUGGGUUCACUGCUCUCUGUCUCAGCUGCAUGUUUUGUGUCACAAAAUAAGAUGACACACACAGCAUUUUACUCUUCUCCAAACAGCUGAGAAGGACUUUUGGUCACUCUGCAGAGCACAUACCAAGUAUACCCCUGGAGCAAAUGCUGACAUAUCAAACCCUGUUUCUUCAGCUGGAUGGGGAUAGCCAAAACAAAAUUAUGCAUCCUGAUUGAGCAAAGUUCUCAUAACAUCGCACGAGCAUUUUUAUUGCAUCUGGGGCCUAUUCCCUGGAAAGGGCUGGAUCGCCUGGAGUUCGGCACUGGUGACUCACAAGUGAGAAGGUGGAGAGGGUGGUACUUCAUGUGGUAAGCACAAGAACCACUUUUCUUGGCUAGCUGAAAGAGAACACAGGAACAAGGACAAGUCUGAUAGCAGUGUCCCUAACUCUGGUGUGUUCAGACUGCACGGAGGUACUCAGUGUUUUAAAAUGCAUUUUUGUCAAAUGCUCACAGCCUGUUUGACCAUCCAAUUACUUCAGCAAUGAAUAAGGUGAUUUUGGAUGGAGGUAUGUUUAUUUUAAUAUAAAGGUUUUAGUACUGGCACAGCAUGUUCCAGCUCAUAUAAGACCUCUAGAUGCAUUCCCUAUCACAAAGAAAUUGGUUGCUGCCAAAGUGGGGUCUUCACCUUUUUAGUGUGCAGUUUUUCACUACAAGAAAGACAUCUUUGUGGAGACAGAAAAGAAAGAGCAAGAGUUAAUAUGGCCUGGUAGCACACUCGAGAGUAGACCCAAGUCAUGGAUUGCAGUUCUUGCUUUAAGAACUGUUUACACUUCCACUGAUGAGAGUUUAAUGGAAAGUACUUUGACCUAGCCUAAG
Molecule: long non-coding RNA, 1248 nt
Filed under: Numida meleagris (helmeted guineafowl)
Lineage: Eukaryota; Metazoa; Chordata; Aves; Galliformes; Numididae
Description: lncRNA (ENSNMEG00000019084.1)
Source: RNAcentral